This 1389-nucleotide long non-coding RNA is filed under the name Macaca fascicularis (crab-eating macaque). Its description in RNAcentral is "lncRNA (ENSMFAG00000059424.1)". Lineage: Eukaryota; Metazoa; Chordata; Mammalia; Primates; Cercopithecidae. The record is from RNAcentral.
CCCAGGCUACAGUGAGCUGUGAUUGGGGGCCACUACUCCAGCCUGGAAGACAGUGAGACCCUGUCUGAGAAAAAAAAAGAAAGAAAAAGAAAACAAAAAGAAGGAAGGAAGGCAGGAGGGAGGGGAAGGAAGGAAAGGAAGGAAAGAAAAAAAGAAAGAAACUAGUGCUUGGCUUUUGAGCAACCACAAGGACCCUGAAGGGAACCAUCUGUCCGUCCCUUGGAGGGGAACUCUCUCAAGGAUCCCACAGAGCCUAAAGCUGAUAGGAUGGCCUCAUGGCUGAAUUCAGAGGGAAAGAAAAAUGCUGAAAUAAAGUUUAGGCUGAGAAGCUUCUAGACCAGCAACUGCUCAUUAGAAUGUGUUUUUCUGCUUUGGGUUUCAGGCCCAUCCUAACCCAGAUCAAAGAUCCUGGGACAGCUGGAAGAGGCAUGGCCUAAUGGAACUCCCAAGUGGACAGUGCCAGGCAUGGAGGGACAGAGCUUCUGAAACAGUCCUCAGAGUCCGUGCAUCUGGGUCUUUCUGUAGGAACCGCCCCAUCAGCAGUGCCAGGCCGAACCAAGCACACGCACUGAUCUACCGCACGAUGGGGGCUGCUGUGGGUGGGUUUGUUUGCUUCAGCCAUGUCCGCAGACAGGAACAGAAGAGCACGCUGGAGGCCACCAGCCCUCUCGCCUGCUAGUUCAAAAGGGGUUGCAGCAGGGCUGGAAAGCGGUUCCCACUGUGGUUGCCCCCUUCCUCUCUGUGGCACACACAGACCUGAAAAUAACCAGAGAGGGACUGCAAGCUGCCAGCCUAAAACAGGAAGGCUGCAGAAAGUCCUAGGCUCAGAUAGGAGAGUUUAAAAGAAUGUUGAAACCAAGAAUAGGCAUCACAGAUCCCACCUGUCUCUGCACCAAAGCAGACCUCCCCCUCUCUAAUCUACUGAUGGGGAGCCUGUGUGCUCUGUAGUCACGCAAAUCGAGUUCCCAUCCCGGCUUUACCACUUGCUGGCUGUAUGACUUAAGCAAGUUACUUAACCUCUCUGAGCCCCUAUUUCCUGAUUUGCAAGAUAAGAGCAGCAACAUACAAAUUUUUAGUGGUGUGGUUCACAUGAAAAAAUGUAGUCCUGGCCAGGCCAGGCGCAGUGCUUCACACCUAUAAUCCCAGCACUUUAGUCGAGACCAGCCUGACCCACAUGGUAAAACCCCAUCUCUACUAAAAAUACAAAAAUUAGCCGGGCGUGGUGGCGCACACCUGUUGUCCCAGCUACUCAGGAAGCUGAGACAGGAGAAUCACUUGAACCCAGGAGGCAGACGUUGCGGUGAGCCGAGAUGGCACCACUGCACUCCAGCCUGGGCAACAAGAACGAAACUCCAUCUCAAAAAAAAAAAAGAAAAGAAAAGAAAAAAA